CCUACGGGAGGCAGCAGUGGGGAAUAUUGCACAAUGGGGGAAACCCUGAUGCAGCGACGCCGCGUGAGUGAAGAAGUAAUUCGUUAUGUAAAGCUCUAUCUGCAGGGGAGCAAAUGACGGUACGUGAGUAAGAAGCCCCGGUGAACGACGUGCCAGCAACCGCUGGCAUACGUGGGGGGGAAGCGUUAACCGGAUUUACUGGGUGUAAAGGGGGGGUAGACCGGAGUGCAAGGCUGGAGUGAAAGGCGGGGGGCUAACCCCCGGACUGCUGUGGAAACUGGCCGGCUGGAGUGCAGGAGAGGAAAGUGGAAUGCGUGGUGUAGCGGUGAAAUGCAUAGAUAUCAGGAGGAACCCCGGUGGCGAAGGCAGCCUUCCGGACUCCUACUGACGUUGAGGCACGAAAGCGUGGGGAGCGAACAGGAUUAGAUACCCGAGUAGUC
Molecule: ribosomal RNA, 440 nt
Filed under: uncultured bacterium
Lineage: Bacteria
Description: partial 16S ribosomal RNA
Rfam family: Bacterial small subunit ribosomal RNA
Source: RNAcentral